Molecule: ribosomal RNA, 492 nt
Filed under: uncultured bacterium
Lineage: Bacteria
Description: partial 16S ribosomal RNA
Rfam family: Bacterial small subunit ribosomal RNA
Source: RNAcentral
AGUGAACGCUGGCGGUAGGCCUAACACAUGCAAGUCGAACGGCAGCACAGUAAGAGCUUGCUCUUACGGGUGGCGAGUGGCGGACGGGUGAGGAAUACAUCGGAAUCUACUUUUUCGUGGGGGAUAACGUAGGGAAACUUACGCUAAUACCGCAUACGACCUACGGGUGAAAGCAGGGGAUCUUCGGACCUUGCGCGAUUGAAUGAGCCGAUGUCGGAUUAGCUAGUUGGCGGGGCAAAGGCCCACCAAGGCGACGAUCCGUAGCUGGUCUGAGAGGAUGAUCAGCCACACUGGAACUGAGGCACGGUCCAGACUCCUACGGGAGGCAGCAGUGGGGAAUAUUGGACAAUGGGCGCAAGCCUGAUCCAGCCAUACCGCGUGGGUGAAGAAGGCCUUCGGGUUGUAAAGCCCUUUUGUUGGGAAAGAAAAGCAGCAGGUUAAUACCCCGCUGUUCUGACGGUACCCAAAGAAUAAGCACCGGCUAACUUCGUG